RNAcentral lists this ribosomal RNA (391 nucleotides) under Escherichia coli. Its description in RNAcentral is "partial 23S ribosomal RNA". It matches the Rfam family "Bacterial large subunit ribosomal RNA", at positions 1 to 431 of the family's 2925-position model. The record is from RNAcentral. Lineage: Bacteria; Pseudomonadati; Pseudomonadota; Gammaproteobacteria; Enterobacterales; Enterobacteriaceae.
GGUUAAGCGACUAAGCGUACACGGUGGAUGCCCUGGCAGUCAGAGGCGAUGAAGGACGUGCUAAUCUGCGAUAAGCGUCGGUAAGGUGAUAUGAACCGUUAUAACCGGCGAUUUCCGAAUGGGGAAACCCAGUGUGUUUCGACACACUAUCAUUAACUGAAUCCAUAGGUUAAUGAGGCGAACCGGGGGAACUGAAACAUCUAAGUACCCCGAGGAAAAGAAAUCAACCGAGAUUCCCCCAGUAGCGGCGAGCGAACGGGGAGCAGCCCAGAGCCUGAAUCAGUGUGUGUGUUAGUGGAAGCGUCUGGAAAGGCGCGCGAUACAGGGUGACAGCCCCGUACACAAAAAUGCACAUGCUGUGAGCUCGAUGAGUAGGGCGGGACACGUGGUA